GAGCUCAGGCAAUCCACCCACCUCGGCCUCCCAAAGUGCUGAGAUUACAGGUGUGAGCCACCGUGCCUGGUCUGACCUGUGCUUUUCACCUUCUCUGCACACCUGUGUGCCCUUUCUACAUGGGGCCUCAACUCCAGACCCCGCAAACAACAACUAACAUGAGGACAACUGCUGGGAAGAGGCUGAAGCAAUUGCAGCAUGAUCACACAAGUGAUAACCACCAAGCCAAAGGGACAGGAAGCUCUCGGCAUUGUUGGUGUUUUACUCAAGCCAUGGUAAAUAACUAGAAGUUCAAUGCCUGGAUCAUGUAGCAGGUUUGUAUUUGACUAUGUUUAGCUUAUAUUCCCUCCACCAAUUAAGGAGGGUUCCAGCUAUUCUACAUCCUCACCAAUACUUGGCUUGGUCAUCAUCUGUAAUUUGAGAUAUCUUAAUUAGUAUCAAGUGAUGUCUUAUUCCCUAAUGACAUAUAAUGUUGCAUAUCUUUUUCUGUGCUUAUUUGCCAUUCAUAUGAUUGUCUUUGUUCAAAUGUCUGUAAAAACUUACCAUUUUUAAUGGUUGUUUGCUUUCUUACACUUGGACUUUAAGAGUUCUCUAUAUAUAUAGCCGAUAAAAGUUAUUUAUCAGG
This 625-nucleotide long non-coding RNA is filed under the name Homo sapiens (human). Its description in RNAcentral is "HSALNT0331558". The record is from RNAcentral. Lineage: Eukaryota; Metazoa; Chordata; Mammalia; Primates; Hominidae.